Molecule: ribosomal RNA, 408 nt
Filed under: uncultured bacterium
Lineage: Bacteria
Description: partial 16S ribosomal RNA
Rfam family: Bacterial small subunit ribosomal RNA
Source: RNAcentral
GACGAACGCUGGCGGCGUGCUUAACACAUGCAAGUCGAACGAAGUGGCGAACGGGAGAGUAACGAGUAAUCAACCUGCCCUUCAGCGGGGGACAACAGUUGGAAACGACUGCUAAUACCGCAUACUGAAUGAGGGGAUUGCGUCUGAUUGGCUAGUUGGAGGGGUAACGGACCACCAGGGCGAUGCGAAGUAGCACGGCGGAGAGGAUGCGCGGCCAGAGGGGGACUUAGACAAGGGCCAGACUCCUACGGGAGGCAGCAGUGGGGAAUCUUCCGCAAUGGAGGAAAGUCUGACGGAGCAACGCCGCGUGAGUGAUGACGGCCUUCGGGUUGUAAAGCUCUGUUAAUCGGGACGCGGUACCGGAAUAGAAAGCCACGGCUAACUACGUGCCAGCAGCCGCGGUAAUUC